RNAcentral lists this long non-coding RNA (573 nucleotides) under Elaeis guineensis (African oil palm). RNAcentral's name for it is "long non-coding RNA (EGUI_LNC076049)". Lineage: Eukaryota; Viridiplantae; Streptophyta; Magnoliopsida; Arecales; Arecaceae. The record is from RNAcentral.
CCGACGGCGGCCGCGGUCAUCUCGACUCCAGCAACUCCGGCUUCGGCGGAAUUCUGCACCAACAGAAUUGGCGCUAGAGGAAGGGGGGCUGUGUCUUCGCAGUAUCCUUGUUCUUAAAGGAGUGCUUAACGGGACUACCUCCGGUCAUCUUCUCCGACAUCCUCUUCUCCUUCUCCUACUAGAUCUCCACCUGAUGCCUCCCCGAAAUGCAUCCACCAGGCGAUCCACGGCCUCCGCGGUCAGAUCUCAGGCUCCGAUCUCGCCUCCAGUUUUCCAGGCUCCUCCUCCUCCGACAACGGCGAUCGACGUGGAGUAGUUCGACCUGCUGGUCCAACAGAUCAGAGGCCUCACCGAAGCAGUGCAGGCCAUGCAGCAGCAGCAGCAACAGCCACAGGCAUCAGUGCGGUUGGAAAGAGCAUCGUCGGAGUUUCAAAAUCCGGCAGUAGGGCGGGCCACUUGGGCCAGUCGCCCUGUCUUCCCCGAAAAGACGAAUUCGAGGGUGGAGAGCCCUCGGUCUGAUCACGAUUCUACUCUCGGAGGAUCUCUACCUCCAUUCUGUCAGAAGACCCUCGA